This 1953-nucleotide long non-coding RNA is filed under the name Anas platyrhynchos platyrhynchos (common mallard). Its description in RNAcentral is "lncRNA (ENSAPLG00000022153.1)". The record is from RNAcentral. Lineage: Eukaryota; Metazoa; Chordata; Aves; Anseriformes; Anatidae.
GAAGACAGUUUCUCAGGGGUUUGCUUGGGAAGAGCACCAGUCCCAUAAGGACAGGGCAAACCUCUCCUCCAGCACCAGGUCCUGUCGUUGGCUGCCCCCAGGGCUCAUCCCCCUCUCAGAGAAGGUUUUCAGCAGCGUAAAUAGGCCAGACAGGACUGAGCCUGUAUUUCUGGAGCAGCCUGGGCAUCUCAAACCUGGUGCACGAGCACCACAGCAUCUGUUCUGUAACAUACCCAGUCUGGACUUCAUGCUGGCGAGAUUAUUUCACAGGAGCCAUUAGGAGCACGUAACAGGGAAUUAGGGAGCUUUCAUCAGAAAGCUUCUACAGUGAUAGUUUCUUGUUCUAUUGGUGUGAUUGUUAAAUAUACAAAUUAUGUGAAGAUAAAAAAAAAAUCAUUAAAAUGCAAUUAUUCCAGCAAUGUAAGUUUAUGGCUAUGUAAGUACAUUAAAAGACCAACUUUGUAGGUCUUUAUGUGCUUAAUAAAACUGAAUAAUUUGCUAAAAUAAUCUUUGGUGGCAGUAGCAAGUAAAUUUUGUAUUUCCAUUUGACUUGAAGCAUAUUCCAGGUAUAUUAAAAAAAGAUUACUGCAUUUUAAACCAUAUGUCCCCAUACUGGGUGUGAAGAACAACAGGGAAAAACAAAAAGAGAGCAUGAUGUGUGCGUAAUCUCUUCUUCUGCAUGCCAGUAUUGCAGGUUGAAACUGUCGCUAAUGGAAAGUUGGUCAGCCAAAGAUGGAGAAGGGCAGGAAAGCCCCGAAGCACACCUUGUCAUCAGGUUGUUUGCAGCUCCUCCUGCCUUCGCCCUUCCACAUCGCUGAGACAUGCAAGAUGCAAAAAGCCGACUGGAGGAGGAAGAGACAAAUGGAAACUGAUGGAAAAGCGGAGUGAGACAACUCAGGGCAUUUUACCACCACCUGCAUUACCUCGUGGUGGCAGAUGUUGGACGUGGCCAAAGCUGAUGUUGGGGGCUGCCUGGGAGAGAACGGGGGUGAAGACGUCAGCCCAGACAGAUAGCCCUCCCUGCUCCAUCCGCUGGCAUCAAUCUGUGCUGAAGUCGGUGCUGCACGCAGCCGAGGCUCUGACCUUCACCUUGCAGCACCACGGAGGCACCGACACCCAAGCACUCUGAUCGCAUCUGAGGAAGCCAGAAGUCUGGAAUUAUGGAAAGGGAGCAAAACCAUAGUCUGAGUUGGUGGUUAAUACAACAGCAAGUAAAAGGAAGGAGGGGAGAGAGGUACAACAGAGCAAAUGGGCUGUCGGAGAUGCGGUCCUGUUUCUGCCUCAUGCAGUAACAAACUUGGUGCAUCCCGCAGCGCUCAGUUAAGAUCAUAAGGGACGUUGCAGCAGAAAUCACAAGGAAUGAGGGCCAGCUGGGGAACAGCCAUCAAGAACUGUAUAAGAAUGAAGAAUUUUCAUUUCCAAUUUCAUAACUGUCAUAAAAAUAGAAUAUGUACAGACGUCUGAGGGACUUAGGGUGGUCUUAUUGCUUACUGCAGGCAAACAAAGAGAUUAUUCCAUAUAACUAGAUUCAGCUUGGGAUGUCUGCCUGUUUUGUUCUGGAAAUAUUCAGAAUUUAUACCAGCAGAGUACUUUAGCCUUUUGUAUUUGGUGCAUUUGGAAAAUCAAUUGGCAACAUUUCACAAGGCAAACACUGGUGGUUUUUUUUCAGUUUGUUUGCAGAUUUUCCUCAGUUCUUAGAAACCUAAGUGCGUGCAGACUUCUAUUUUUUGGUGGUGGCUGUAUACACGUGCACACCCAUACUGCUCUGUGCAGAGGCUAUUGCAGGUACUGGCGUUCGUGUCUGGAAGCAGAACAGGUCUUUAAGUAGCAGAGCUUGUGAAGGCACACCAAGAAAGCAGUCUGAUCUGAUCGGUUCACAUGGCAUCAACUUUUUGUGUUGUUUAAUAUCUCCCUGAGGGGCAUGCCCCUCAUAAGGCUCAACAAGUCUUGGAA